GACGAACGCUGGCGGCGUGCUUAACACAUGCAAGUCGAACGGAAAGGCCCUGCUUUUGUGGGGUGCUCGAGUGGCGAACGGGUGAGUAACACGUGAGUAACCUGCCCUUGACUUUGGGAUAACUUCAGGAAACUGGGGCUAAUACCGGAUAGGAGCUCCUGCUGCAUGGUGGGGGUUGGAAAGUUUCGGCGGUUGGGGAUGGACUCGCGGCUUAUCAGCUUGUUGGUGGGGCAGUGGCUUACCAAGGCUUUGACGGGUAGCCGGCCUGAGAGGGUGACCGGCCACAUUGGGACUGAGAUACGGCCCAGACUCCUACGGGAGGCAACAGUGGGGAAUAUUGCACAAUGGGCGGAAGCCUGAUGCAGCAACGCCGCGUGCGGGAUGACGGCCUUCGGGUUGUAAACCGCUUUCGCCUGUGACGAAGCGUGAGUGACGGUAAUGGGUAAAGAAGCACCGGCUAACUACGU
Molecule: ribosomal RNA, 467 nt
Filed under: uncultured bacterium
Lineage: Bacteria
Description: partial 16S ribosomal RNA
Rfam family: Bacterial small subunit ribosomal RNA
Source: RNAcentral